GACGAACGCUGGCGGCGUGCCUAAUACAUGCAAGUAGAACGCUGAAGGAGGAGCUUGCUUCUCUGGAUGAGUUGCGAACGGGUGAGUAACGCGUAGGUAACCUGCCUGGUAGCGGGGGAUAACUAUUGGAAACGAUAGCUAAUACCGCAUAAGAGUAGAUGUUGCAUGACAUUUGCUUAAAAGGUGCAAUUGCAUCACUACCAGAUGGACCUGCGUUGUAUUAGCUAGUUGGUGGGGUAACGGCUUACCAAGGCGACGAUACAUAGCCGACCUGAGAGGGUGAUCGGCCACACUGAGACUGAGACACGGCCCAGACUCCUACGGGAGGCAGCAGUAGGGAAUCUUCGGCAAUGGACGGAAGUCCGACCGAGCAACGCCGCGUGAGUGAAGAAGGUUUUCGGAUCGUAAAGCUCUGUUGUAAGAGAAGAACGAGUGUGAGAGUGGAAAGUUCACACUGUGACGGUAUCUUACCAGAAAGGGACGGCUAACUACGUG
RNAcentral lists this ribosomal RNA (495 nucleotides) under uncultured bacterium. RNAcentral describes it as "partial 16S ribosomal RNA". It matches the Rfam family "Bacterial small subunit ribosomal RNA", at positions 28 to 507 of the family's 1533-position model. The record is from RNAcentral.